Molecule: ribosomal RNA, 482 nt
Filed under: uncultured bacterium
Lineage: Bacteria
Description: partial 16S ribosomal RNA
Rfam family: Bacterial small subunit ribosomal RNA
Source: RNAcentral
AUUGAACGCUGGCGGCAUGCUUUACACAUGCAAGUCGAACGGUAACAGGCCGCCAGGUGCUGACGAGUGGCGAACGGGUGCGUAAUGCAUCGGAACGUGCCCAGUCGUGGGGGAUAACUACUCGAAAGAGUAGCUAAUACCGCAUACGAUCUAUGGAUGAAAGCGGGGGACCGUAAGGCCUCGCGCGAUUGGAGCGGCCGAUGUCAGAUUAGGUAGUUGGUGGGGUAAAGGCUCACCAAGCCAACGAUCUGUAGCUGGUCUGAGAGGACGACCAGCCACACUGGGACUGAGACACGGCCCAGACUCCUACGGGAGGCAGCAGUGGGGAAUUUUGGACAAUGGGCGCAAGCCUGAUCCAGCAAUGCCGCGUGCAGGAAGAAGGCCUUCGGGUUGUAAACUGCUUUUGUACGGAACGAAACGGCUCUGGUUAAUACCCGGGGCUAAUGACGGUACCGUAAGAAUAAGCACCGGCUAACUACGUG